This 512-nucleotide ribosomal RNA is filed under the name uncultured bacterium. Its description in RNAcentral is "partial 16S ribosomal RNA". It matches the Rfam family "Bacterial small subunit ribosomal RNA", at positions 28 to 523 of the family's 1533-position model. The record is from RNAcentral.
GACGAACGCUGGCGGCGUGCCUAAUACAUGCAAGUCGAGCGAAUUUACGAGAGCUUGCUCUCGUAAAUUAGCGGCGGAAGGGUGAGUAACACGUGGGCAACCUGCCUAUAAGACUGGGAUAACUUCGGGAAACCGGAGCUAGUACCGGAUAAUUCACAUCUACUCAUGUAGAUGUGCUGAAAGACGGUUUCGGCUGUCACUUAUAGAUGGGCCCGCGGCGCAUUAGCUAGUUGGUGAGGUAACGGCGCACCAAGGCCACGAUGCGUAGCCGACCUGGGAGGGUGAGCGGCCACACUGGAACUGAGACACGGCACAGACUCCUGCGGGAGGCAGCAGUAGGGAAUCUUCCGCAAUGGACGAGAGUCUGACGGAGCAACGCCGCGUGAGUGAUGAAGGUUUUCGGAUCGUAAAACUCUGUUGUUAGGGAAGAACAAGUACCAGAGUAACUGCUGGUACCUUGACGGUACCUAACCAGAAAGCCACGGCUAACUACGUGCCAGCAGCCGCGGUAA